Molecule: long non-coding RNA, 1661 nt
Filed under: Anas platyrhynchos platyrhynchos (common mallard)
Lineage: Eukaryota; Metazoa; Chordata; Aves; Anseriformes; Anatidae
Description: lncRNA (ENSAPLG00000017784.1)
Source: RNAcentral
CUCAUUUGACCUUAGGAAAAAAAAAAAAAGACACUCAUUGGGUGAUUUUUAAUAUCCUAGUAGGAAAUGUUGUAAAUAAGUUAAAGGAAUCUGUAUUGGGUUUACAUGGCAAAGAUUUGGUAGCAAGGGGACUGCAGAGGUGGCCUCUGUGAGCAGAGUCCUGCAGCUGCCCCACGUCAGAGCAGAGCCGGCUCCAAAAGGGACCUGCAGCUGGCCAGAGCCGAGCCAGGGACCGAUGCUGGGUAGGCCUCUGGAAGAAUGGAGUUAAGGAAGGGAAACAACAUUCAACAGCAGCUGAGAGAGAGGGGUGAGAACAUGUGAGGGAACAAGCCCCCAGCAGUUCCCCAAAGUCAAUGCAGCAAGAGGUGCUCCAGGUGCCAGAGCCAGUGUUUCGCUGCAGCCUGUGGAGAGGCCCCUGGUGGAGCAGGUGGAGACAAAGUAUUGUGGGCUGACUGCAGGCCCCAUUUUCCUGCACUACUUAGGGGGAUAGGGUAGAAGAGAGUAGAUGGAGGGCAGGUGGUUUUAGUUUGCUUUUAGUUUCUCAUUGGUCUUGUCUGAUAGCAGUAGACAAUAAGUUUUGUUAAUCUCCCUUCUGUGAAUCUGUUUUGCCUGUCAUGUUAAUUGGUUGGGCGAUCAUACUGUCCUUAUCUCAACCUGUGAGUGUUUUUUUUUUCUUUUUUUUUUUUUUCUUUUGUUUUAUUUUGUUUUUGUUUUUUCCUCCACCUGUUCCUGUGAGGAGGGGAAGUGAGAGGGUGAUGUGGUGGAGUUUCAUUGGCCAUCAGUGUGAAACCACUACAGAAUCUCUGCCUGAAGGUGCUUUGUAUUUCUCCUUGAGAGUAGAGGACUCCAGGAAACUGUUGCACAGUUUGCAGACGGAUACAUCAAAAUCCACAAAGUGCUGGAAAUCAAGCAUGAAGCCUGCUUUAAAAUAUAGUGGCUGUUAAUAACAUUGUGAGGACAAAGAUGCAGCUCGAAGUGGUUGAAGCACGUCUCAUUGAACCUGGUGGGUGUGUGUACUCUGCUCUCAGAGAAGGGCCAAGGAAAGGAUGAGUCAAGUAGUACAGAAGUUGUUCUGACAAAGAGUUGGCCCACUGAAAAUAUGGAAAUACUGAAAAUAUGGAAACUAGUGAAAACCACCAUGACCAGGCCUUACUUAAGAAUCCCACAUAUAAACCUCUUAUCUCUGACUGCAGCUUCAACGAGACGUUAUUCAUAAUGACCUCUGCAAACACAGACUUAAUGAGAGCAAGUUGUGAGGCUCUGAGUGAAGAUAGGAAUAGAACAAAACACAGUCUCCUUCACCUAUUUAUGGAAAGAAAAGAUUCAUAAGCACAGAUGGGAACGCUGGGACUACCAUAAACGCUCAGACUAAACUGUGUUAAAACAAAUUUUCAUAUUGUAAGUGACAUUUUAAACAUGUGUCUCCUUCUGAAAAAAAAAUUCAAGCAAUGAAUAAUGGAGUUGAAUCAAAUGGAGCAAAAGGCAUCUUGCAGCUAGUGAGUGCUCAAAAGCACUGACUCACUUCAGAUCUUUAUUUUUUCUUUUUCUGAAAGCUUCACCUGCAAUGAAUGUGACCUAGUGAAUUAAAGAAACAAAAAGACAGGAAAAAGCAGCAAAUAACUUACGAGCCAUCUACUGAACCAAGAUUUGUUAACAUAAAA